Molecule: non-coding RNA, 26 nt
Filed under: Mus musculus (house mouse)
Lineage: Eukaryota; Metazoa; Chordata; Mammalia; Rodentia; Muridae
Also listed under: 1 other name
Source: RNAcentral
UGAUGAUUCCCGAGAUAUUUCCAGGU